UGCAGUCUGCAACUCGACUGCAUGAAGCUGGAAUCGCUAGUAAUCGCGGAUCAGAAUGCCGCGGUGAAUACGUUCCCGGGUCUUGUACACACCGCCCGUCACACCAUGGGAGUCGGAUAUGCCCGAAGUCAGUGACCCAACCGCAAGGAGGGAGCUGCCGAAGGUGGAGCCGAUGACUGGGGUGAAGUCGUAACAAGGUAAC
This 202-nucleotide ribosomal RNA is filed under the name uncultured bacterium. RNAcentral describes it as "partial 16S ribosomal RNA". It matches the Rfam family "Bacterial small subunit ribosomal RNA", at positions 1299 to 1500 of the family's 1533-position model. The record is from RNAcentral.